Molecule: transfer RNA, 137 nt
Filed under: Sulfitobacter sp. NAS-14.1
Lineage: Bacteria; Pseudomonadati; Pseudomonadota; Alphaproteobacteria; Rhodobacterales; Roseobacteraceae
Description: tRNA-Gly
Source: RNAcentral
GGCUUUGUCGAACAGGCGGCCGGCUUCGGGCUGAACCCGACGCUUUGGGUGAAAUUCCUGUAUGUGUGUCUGUUCGCCGUGGUGCUCUUGGUGCUGAUGUGGCUAAGCCAGCGGGCGCUGAAUUCGCCCUGGGGCCG